RNAcentral lists this ribosomal RNA (2526 nucleotides) under Escherichia coli. RNAcentral's name for it is "partial 23S ribosomal RNA". It matches the Rfam family "Bacterial large subunit ribosomal RNA", at positions 419 to 2925 of the family's 2925-position model. The record is from RNAcentral. Lineage: Bacteria; Pseudomonadati; Pseudomonadota; Gammaproteobacteria; Enterobacterales; Enterobacteriaceae. RNAcentral also lists the same sequence under 1 other name.
GGGACACGUGGUAUCCUGUCUGAAUAUGGGGGGACCAUCCUCCAAGGCUAAAUACUCCUGACUGACCGAUAGUGAACCAGUACCGUGAGGGAAAGGCGAAAAGAACCCCGGCGAGGGGAGUGAAAAAGAACCUGAAACCGUGUACGUACAAGCAGUGGGAGCCUCUUAAUGGGGUGACUGCGUACCUUUUGUAUAAUGGGUCAGCGACUUAUAUUCUGUAGCAAGGUUAACCGAAUAGGGGAGCCGAAGGGAAACCGAGUCUUAACUGGGCGUUAAGUUGCAGGGUAUAGACCCGAAACCCGGUGAUCUAGCCAUGGGCAGGUUGAAGGUUGGGUAACACUAACUGGAGGACCGAACCGACUAAUGUUGAAAAAUUAGCGGAUGACUUGUGGCUGGGGGUGAAAGGCCAAUCAAACCGGGAGAUAGCUGGUUCUCCCCGAAAGCUAUUUAGGUAGCGCCUCGUGAAUUCAUCUCCGGGGGUAGAGCACUGUUUCGGCAAGGGGGUCAUCCCGACUUACCAACCCGAUGCAAACUGCGAAUACCGGAGAAUGUUAUCACGGGAGACACACGGCGGGUGCUAACGUCCGUCGUGAAGAGGGAAACAACCCAGACCGCCAGCUAAGGUCCCAAAGUCAUGGUUAAGUGGGAAACGAUGUGGGAAGGCCCAGACAGCCAGGAUGUUGGCUUAGAAGCAGCCAUCAUUUAAAGAAAGCGUAAUAGCUCACUGGUCGAGUCGGCCUGCGCGGAAGAUGUAACGGGGCUAAACCAUGCACCGAAGCUGCGGCAGCGACACUAUGUGUUGUUGGGUAGGGGAGCGUUCUGUAAGCCUGUGAAGGUGGCCUGUGAGGGUUGCUGGAGGUAUCAGAAGUGCGAAUGCUGACAUAAGUAACGAUAAAGCGGGUGAAAAGCCCGCUCGCCGGAAGACCAAGGGUUCCUGUCCAACGUUAAUCGGGGCAGGGUGAGUCGACCCCUAAGGCGAGGCCGAAAGGCGUAGUCGAUGGGAAACAGGUUAAUAUUCCUGUACUUGGUGUUACUGCGAAGGGGGGACGGAGAAGGCUAUGUUGGCCGGGCGACGGUUGUCCCGGUUUAAGCGUGUAGGCUGGUUUUCCAGGCAAAUCCGGAAAAUCAAGGCUGAGGCGUGAUGACGAGGCACUACGGUGCUGAAGCGACAAAUGCCCUGCUUCCAGGAAAAGCCUCUAAGCAUCAGGUAACAUCAAAUCGUACCCCAAACCGACACAGGUGGUCAGGUAGAGAAUACCAAGGCGCUUGAGAGAACUCGGGUGAAGGAACUAGGCAAAAUGGUGCCGUAACUUCGGGAGAAGGCACGCUGAUAUGUAGGUGAAGCGACUUGCUCGUGGAGCUGAAAUCAGUCGAAGAUACCAGCUGGCUGCAACUGUUUAUUAAAAACACAGCACUGUGCAAACACGAAAGUGGACGUAUACGGUGUGACGCCUGCCCGGUGCCGGAAGGUUAAUUGAUGGGGUUAGCGGUAACGCGAAGCUCUUGAUCGAAGCCCCGGUAAACGGCGGCCGUAACUAUAACGGUCCUAAGGUAGCGAAAUUCCUUGUCGGGUAAGUUCCGACCUGCACGAAUGGCGUAAUGAUGGCCAGGCUGUCUCCACCCGAGACUCAGUGAAAUUGAACUCGCUGUGAAGAUGCAGUGUACCCGCGGCAAGACGGAAAGACCCCGUGAACCUUUACUAUAGCUUGACACUGAACAUUGAGCCUUGAUGUGUAGGAUAGGUGGGAGGCUUUGAAGUGUGGACGCCAGUCUGCAUGGAGCCGACCUUGAAAUACCACCCUUUAAUGUUUGAUGUUCUAACGUGGGCCCCUUACCGGGGUUGCGGACAGUGUCUGGUGGGUAGUUUGACUGGGGCGGUCUCCUCCUAAAGAGUAACGGAGGAGCACGAAGGUUGGCUAAUCCUGGUCGGACAUCAGGAGGUUAGUGCAAUGGCAUAAGCCAGCUUGACUGCGAGCGUGACGGCGCGAGCAGGUGCGAAAGCAGGUCAUAGUGAUCCGGUGGUUCUGAAUGGAAGGGCCAUCGCUCAACGGAUAAAAGGUACUCCGGGGAUAACAGGCUGAUACCGCCCAAGAGUUCAUAUCGACGGCGGUGUUUGGCACCUCGAUGUCGGCUCAUCACAUCCUGGGGCUGAAGUAGGUCCCAAGGGUAUGGCUGUUCGCCAUUUAAAGUGGUACGCGAGCUGGGUUUAGAACGUCGUGAGACAGUUCGGUCCCUAUCUGCCGUGGGCGCUGGAGAACUGAGGGGGGCUGCUCCUAGUACGAGAGGACCGGAGUGGACGCAUCACUGGUGUUCGGGUUGUCAUGCCAAUGGCACUGCCCGGUAGCUAAAUGCGGAAGAGAUAAGUGCUGAAAGCAUCUAAGCACGAAACUUGCCCCGAGAUGAGUUCUCCCUGACUCCUUGAGAGUCCUGAAGGAACGUUGAAGACGACGACGUUGAUAGGCCGGGUGUGUAAGCGCAGCGAUGCGUUGAGCUAACCGGUACUAAUGAACCGUGAGGCUUAACCUU